RNAcentral lists this ribosomal RNA (492 nucleotides) under uncultured bacterium. Its description in RNAcentral is "partial 16S ribosomal RNA". It matches the Rfam family "Bacterial small subunit ribosomal RNA", at positions 29 to 507 of the family's 1533-position model. The record is from RNAcentral.
AGUGAACGCUGGCGGUAUGCCUAACACAUGCAAGUCGAACGGCAGCACAGUAAGAGCUUGCUCUUACGGGUGGCGAGUGGCGGACGGGUGAGGAAUACAUCGGAAUCUACUUUUUCGUGGGGGAUAACGUAGGGAAACUUACGCUAAUACCGCAUACGACCUACGGGUGAAAGCAGGGGAUCUUCGGACCUUUCGCGAUUGAAUGAGCCGAUGUCGGAUUAGCUAGUUGGCGGGGUAAAGGCCCACCAAGGCGACGAUCCGUAGCUGGUCUGAGAGGAUGAUCAGCCACACUGGAAGUGAGACACGGUCCAGACUCCUACGGGAGGCAGCAGUGGGGAAUAUUGGACAAUGGGCGAAAGCCUGAUACAGCAAUACCGCGUGGGUGAAGAAGGCCUUCGGGUUGUAAAGCCCUGUUGUUGGGAAAGAAAAGCAGCAGGUUAAUACCCCGCUGUUCUGACGGUACCCAAAGAAUAAGCACCGGCUAACUUCGUG